AGGAAUAUUGGUCAAUGGUCGGCAGACUGAACCAGCCAAGUCGCGUGAGGGAAGACGGCCCUACGGGUUGUAAACCUCUUUUGUCGGAGAGUAAAGUGCGCUACGUGUAGCGUAUUGCAAGUAUCCGAAGAAAAAGCAUCGGCUAACUCCGUGCCAGCAGCCGCGGUAAUACGGAGGAUGCAAGCGUUAUCCGGAUUUAUUGGGUUUAAAGGGUGCGUAGGCGGCACGCCAAGUCAGCGGUGAAAUUUCCGGGCUCAACCCGGAGUGUGCCGUUGAAACUGGUGAGCUAGAGUGCACAAGAGGCAGGCGGAAUGCGUGGUGUAGCGGUGAAAUGCAUAGAUAUCACGCAGAACCCCGAUUGCGAAGGCAGCCUGCUAGGGUGCGACAGACGCUGAGGCACGAAAGCGUGGGUAUCGAACAGGAUUAGAUACCCUGGUAGUCCACGCAGUAAACGAUGAAUACUAACUGUUUGCGAUACAAUGUAAGCGGUACAGCGAAAGCGUUAAGUAUUCCACCUGGGGAGUACGCCGGCAACGGUGAAACUCAAAGGAAUUGACAGGGGCCCGCACAAGCGGAGGAACAUGUGGUUUAAUUCGAUGAUACGCGAGGAACCUUACCCGGGCUCAAACGCAGGGGGAAUGCCGGUGAAAGUCGGCAGCUAGCAAUAGUCACCUGCGAGGUGCUGCAUGGUUGUCGUCAGCUCGUGCCGUGAGGUGUCGGCUUAAGUGCCAUAACGAGCGCAACCCCUAUUGACAGUUACUAACGGGUCAAGCCGAGGACUCUGUCGAGACUGCCGGCGCAAGCCGCGAGGAAGGUGGGGAUGACGUCAAAUCAGCACGGCCCUUACGUCCGGGGCGACACACGUGUUACAAUGGCAGGUACAGAAGGCAGCCAGUCAGCAAUGACGCGCGAAUCCCGAAAACCUGUCUCAGUUCGGAUUGGAGUCUGCAACCCGACUCCAUGAAGCUGGAUUCGCUAGUAAUCGCGCAUCAGCCAUGGCGCGGUGAAUACGUUCCCG
RNAcentral lists this ribosomal RNA (1018 nucleotides) under uncultured bacterium. RNAcentral describes it as "bacterial SSU rRNA". It matches the Rfam family "Bacterial small subunit ribosomal RNA", at positions 357 to 1376 of the family's 1533-position model. The record is from RNAcentral.